CUGCCUACGGGGCGCAGCAGUGGGGAAUAUUGCGCAAUGGGCGAAAGCCUGACGCAGCGACGCCGCGUGAGGGAUGAAGGUUCUCGGAUCGUAAACCUCUGUCAGAAGGGAAGAAAUUAUAUCAUGCUAAUCAGUGGUGUAUUGACGGUACCUUCAAAGGAAGCCACGGCUAACUACGUGCCAGCAGCCGCGGUAAUACGUAGGUGGCAAGCGUUAUCCGGAUUUAUUGGGUGUAAAGGGCGUGUAGGCGGGAAUGCAAGUCAGAUGUGAAAACUAUGGGCUCAACCCAUAGCCUGCAUUUGAAA
This 305-nucleotide ribosomal RNA is filed under the name uncultured bacterium. RNAcentral describes it as "bacterial SSU rRNA". It matches the Rfam family "Bacterial small subunit ribosomal RNA", at positions 335 to 632 of the family's 1533-position model. The record is from RNAcentral.